GGCGUAGGAUAUUUGAGAGGAGCUGACCUUAGUACGAGAGGACCGGGUUGGACUGACCUCUGGUGUACCGGUUGCACUGCCAAGUGCAUGGCCGGGUAGCCAAGUCGGGAAGGGAUAAACGCUGAAGGCAUCUAAGCGUGAAGCCCCCCUCAAGAUAAGAUAUCCCAUAGCAUAAGCUAGUAAGACCCCUGAAAGACGAUCAGGUGGAUAGGUUAGAGGUGGAAGUGUGGUAACACAUGUAGCUGACUAAUACUAAUAGGUCGAGGGCUUGACCUA
Ribosomal RNA from Anaerocolumna jejuensis DSM 15929, 276 nucleotides. It matches the Rfam family "Bacterial large subunit ribosomal RNA", at positions 2650 to 2925 of the family's 2925-position model. Lineage: Bacteria; Bacillati; Bacillota; Clostridia; Lachnospirales; Lachnospiraceae. The record is from Rfam.